This 1237-nucleotide long non-coding RNA is filed under the name Sus scrofa (pig). Its description in RNAcentral is "lncRNA (ENSSSCG00025064837.1)". Lineage: Eukaryota; Metazoa; Chordata; Mammalia; Artiodactyla; Suidae. The record is from RNAcentral.
CAGGGGCUGUGGUGAAGGGUCUUCAGUUAGCCUUUUACUGUGAGAGAGACCCUGCGGGGAGACAGAGCAGGAGAGGAGGAAAAACGGAAACUGUCUAUGGAGGCUGAGACCCUUAUGAGACAGUCCAAUCAGAAAUCUUAAAACUGUGGGGAAGUAUCUAGAAGCCCUGAAAUCUUUGGUGAAGGUGUGUUAAAAAUCACAUUAGGGAGUUCCCAUCGUGGCGCAGUGGUUAACGAAUCCGACUAGGAACCCUGAGGUUGCAGGUUCAGUCCCUGGCCUCGCUCAGUGGGUUAAGGAUCCGGUGUUGCCGUGAGCUGUGGUGUAGGUCGCAGACGUGGCUCGGAUUCCGCGUUGCUGUGGCUCUGGCGUAGGCCGGCGGCUACAGCUCUGAUUAGACCCCUAGCCUGGGAACCUCCAUAUGCCGCGGGAGCGGCCCAAAGGAAAUAGCAAAAAGACAAAAAAAAAAAAAAAAAAAAAAAAAAACAAAAAAAAAAAAAUCACAUUAGAUCUAGAUGGGACCUUAUAUUGGGAGGCUGUAUAUUCAGUAAUAAACUGGGACACUUUUGAGAGUGAAAGAGAAUGUUAUGAAUAAAAUAGCCAGGAACAACAGGUGUAAGUGGGGACUGUGCUGGACAAACUGGCUCAGUGUUCACUCUGCUUAUUAAAGUAGUUCUUGGAGAGGAUGCGCUAUAGACUGUGAGGAAAAUUUCCAAAAUAAUCACGCAGUUGGGAAGGCGGGGAGAAUGAGGUGUAGAGAGCAGUUCUUUUCCAGAAUUUGGUGACAGGAAGAAUAUACAAUUUACAACAGCUCUCCGGGUGUGUCUUGUCCCCUCUAUCCCACGCUGAGGGUGGCAGAGGUAUGAGGGUCACAAGGUGGCAGAAGUUCUGGAACCCAGAGCUUCACACUGGGCUUGGCACAAAGAAGUUGAUGAUAGGGCACUUAAUGACCGACGGAACUCACGUAUCUUGUUUUCCAGGUCUCUCAAUUUCCGGAACAAAGCGGAUUCCAGGUGCGCUUGCGCAGACUCCAGCGUGGGAGGGGGUGCUCUCAGGGUCCUCAACGCAAUUCCAUCCUCGGGAGAAACUUGAUAUGCCCAAGUAUGAACCCAACUUAAAGAGGAAGAAUGAUAUGAACUGGAGGUGCUUUCGGAAACUUGCUGCAGAUCUGAGGUCUGAAGAUGCAGAGAAAUGGCUUUUACCACGUUUCACUUGGAAAGGUAGGAAAGUUCUUUGACAC